RNAcentral lists this ribosomal RNA (402 nucleotides) under uncultured bacterium. Its description in RNAcentral is "bacterial SSU rRNA". It matches the Rfam family "Bacterial small subunit ribosomal RNA", at positions 355 to 774 of the family's 1533-position model. The record is from RNAcentral.
UGGGGAAUAUUGGACAAUGGGGGAAACCCUGAUCCAGCAAUGCCGCGUGAGUGAAGAAGGCCUUAGGGUUGUAAAGCUCUUUCGCCCGCGAAGAUAAUGACGGUAGCGGGAGAAGAAGCCCCGGCUAACUCCGUGCCAGCAGCCGCGGUAAUACGGAGGGGGCUAGCGUUGUUCGGAAUUACUGGGCGUAAAGCGUACGUAGGCGGAUGCGCAAGUUGGGGGUGAAAUCCCGGGGCUUAACCUCGGAAUUGCCCUCAAAACUGCACGUCUUGAGACCGAGAGAGGUAAGGGGAAUUCCUAGUGUAGAGGUGAAAUUCGUAGAUAUUGGGAAGAACACCAGUGGCGAAGGCGCCUUACUGGCUCGGUACUGACGCUGAGGUACGAAAGCGUGGGGAGCAAACA